AGCCCCGUGGUGUAGCGGUCAAGCAUGCGGGACUUUGGAUCCCGCGACGGGGGUUCGAAUCCUCCCGGGGCUG
This 73-nucleotide transfer RNA is filed under the name Candidatus Aciduliprofundum boonei. Its description in RNAcentral is "tRNA-Gln". It matches the Rfam family "tRNA". Rfam says of the family: Transfer RNA (tRNA) molecules are approximately 80 nucleotides in length. Their secondary structure includes four short double-helical elements and three loops (D, anti-codon, and T loops). Further hydrogen bonds mediate the characteristic L-shaped molecular structure. tRNAs have two regions of fundamental functional importance: the anti-codon, which is responsible for specific mRNA codon recognition, and the 3' end, to which the tRNAs corresponding amino acid is attached (by aminoacyl-tRNA synthetases). tRNAs cope with the degeneracy of the genetic code in two manners: having more than one tRNA (with a specific anti-codon) for a particular amino acid; and 'wobble' base-pairing, i.e. permitting non-standard base-pairing at the 3rd anti-codon position. Lineage: Archaea; Methanobacteriati; Thermoplasmatota. RNAcentral also lists the same sequence under 5 other names. The record is from RNAcentral.